RNAcentral lists this ribosomal RNA (226 nucleotides) under uncultured bacterium. Its description in RNAcentral is "partial 16S ribosomal RNA". It matches the Rfam family "Bacterial small subunit ribosomal RNA", at positions 538 to 763 of the family's 1533-position model. The record is from RNAcentral.
GCGUUGUUCGGAUUCGUUGGGCGUAAAGGGUGCGUAGGCGGCGGGGUAAGUCAGGUGUGAAAUUUCGGAGCUUAACUCCGAAACUGCAUUUGAUACUGCCUUGCUUGAGGACUGGAGAGGAGACUGGAAUUUACGGUGUAGCAGUGAAAUGCGUAGAGAUCGUAAGGAAGACCAGUGGCGAAGGCGGGUCUCUGGACAGUUCCUGACACUGAGGCACGAAGGCGGG